AGUUUUAUAAUCUAAGAAAGAAAGAUUUAAAAUUGCAAAUUUUAAAAUAUAAUAUUAUUAUUAUUAAGACUU
Molecule: transfer RNA, 72 nt
Filed under: Cheumatopsyche brevilineata
Lineage: Eukaryota; Metazoa; Arthropoda; Insecta; Trichoptera; Hydropsychidae
Description: tRNA-Cys
Source: RNAcentral